This 540-nucleotide ribosomal RNA is filed under the name uncultured bacterium. RNAcentral's name for it is "bacterial SSU rRNA". It matches the Rfam family "Bacterial small subunit ribosomal RNA", at positions 355 to 896 of the family's 1533-position model. The record is from RNAcentral.
UGAGGAAUAUUGGUCAAUGGGCGCAAGCCUGAACCAGCCAAGUAGCGUGCAGGAAGACGGCCCUAUGGGUUGUAAACUGCUUUUAUACGAGAAUAAUUUGAUGCACGUGUGCGUUAUUGCAUGUAUCGUAUGAAUAAGGACCGGCUAAUUCCGUGCCAGCAGCCGCGGUAAUACGGAAGGUCCAGGCGUUAUCCGGAUUUAUUGGGUUUAAAGGGAGUGUAGGCGGUUUGUUAAGCGUGUUGUGAAAUUUAGAUGCUCAACAUUUAACUUGCAGCGCGAACUGUCAGACUUGAGUACACGCAACGUAUGCGGAAUUCAUGGUGUGGCGGUGAAAUGCUUAGAUAUCAUGAAGAACUCCGAUUGCGAAGGCAGCAUACGGGAGUGUAACUGACGCUUAAGCUCGAAGGUGCGGGUAUCGAACAGGAUUAGAUACCCUGGUAGUCCGCACAGUAAACGAUGGAUGCCCGCUGUUAGCGCCUGGCGUUAGCGGCUAAGCGAAAGCAUUAAGCAUCCCACCUGGGGAGUACGCCGGCAACGGUG